AACGGAACAACAAUCUGCCAGAAAGGAUGGUUUCCAGAAACCUCCAAGCCAGUAACAUGCUCAGAGAGUGGUAUCUUGCAGCCCACUAAAUGCAUAUCUGCAUCUCAGUACCACAAGAAUGAUCUGUAUGUCGUUGUGCCAACAAUCCCCUUUUCCCGUAAUCUGCUGGAGAUGAGUAAUUACAAUGCCACCAAACACUGCAUCGAUACGUAUGGAUAUGAUGCAAGACUGUUGAACUUUCAAAAUGCUUUUGAAGUGGAGACUCUCUCCAUUGUGCUCAAGAAACUUGGUGCUGCCGCCGCCAAAGGCCUGUUCUGGUCUCGACAGUCCGAUCAAGUGUCUUUUGAUAAUCAUUAUGCCUUUGAGGUGAAUGGCAACCAGCUAGGACAUAGUGAGGCCAGGAAUAGUUCGAGGGAGCUUCCAUUUGCCUGUUUAGCCAGAAUAUGUAAUUAUGCUGCGACGGUGGAUAGCACAGGUGUUCUCAAUAUUCCCGAGAAUGGUUCAGCACAGUGUAAACCAGGUCACACACUGAAAAAUCCAGAGCGCGUCUAUUGCCACCAGGGAAACUGGGUCAACUUCCCAAUCU
Sycon ciliatum is the source of this 586-nucleotide long non-coding RNA. RefSeq lists it as uncharacterized. NCBI's taxonomy places the organism in Eukaryota, Metazoa, Porifera, Calcarea, Leucosolenida, Sycettidae. The transcript has 3 exons. The record is from RefSeq and is a predicted model, not a curated record.